GGGGAAUAUUGGACAAUGGGCGAAAGCCUGAUCCAGCCAUGCCGCGUGUGUGAAGAAGGUCUUCGGAUUGUAAAGCACUUUAAGUUGGGAGGAAGGGCAGUAAGUUAAUACCUUGCUGUUUUGACGUUACCAACAGAAUAAGCACCGGCUAACUUCGUGCCAGCAGCCGCGGUAAUACGAAGGGUGCAAGCGUUACUCGGAAUUACUGGGCGUAAAGCGUGCGUAGGUGGUGGUUUAAGUCCGUUGUGAAAGCCCUGGGCUCAACCUGGGAACUGCAGUGGAUACUGGAUCACUAGAGUGUGGCAGAGGGUAGUGGAAUUCCCGGUGUAGCAGUGAAAUGCGUAGAGAUCGGGAGGAACAUCAGUGGCGAAGGCGACUGCCUGGGCCAACACUGACACUGAGGCACGAAAGCGUGGGGAGCAAACA
Molecule: ribosomal RNA, 426 nt
Filed under: uncultured Gammaproteobacteria bacterium
Lineage: Bacteria; Pseudomonadati; Pseudomonadota; Gammaproteobacteria
Description: bacterial SSU rRNA
Rfam family: Bacterial small subunit ribosomal RNA
Source: RNAcentral